Molecule: ribosomal RNA, 423 nt
Filed under: Magnusiomyces capitatus
Lineage: Eukaryota; Fungi; Ascomycota; Dipodascomycetes; Dipodascales; Dipodascaceae
Description: partial large subunit ribosomal RNA
Rfam family: Eukaryotic large subunit ribosomal RNA
Source: RNAcentral
UCCACGGGGAUUGCUUAGUACGGCGAGUGAAGCGGCAAAAGCUCAAUUUGAAAACGCUUCGGCGUGUUGUAAGUAAAGUGGUUAGACGCUUUUUAAUAAGUCCCUUGGAACAGGGCGCCAUAGAGGGUGAUAGCCCCGUAUUAAAUUGUCUAGUGUGCUACUUUAGAGCGAGUCGAGUUGUUUGGGAAUGCAGCUCAAAUAGGUGGUAAACUCCAUCUAAAGCUAAAUAUUGCUGGGAGACCGAUAGCGAACAAGUACAGUGAUGGAAAGAUGAAAAGCACUUUGAAAAGAGAGUGAAAUAGCGUGUGAAAUUGUUGGAGGGGAAGGCGAUGGUAGGAAUAAGAGGCUGCGGUUUGAAAUAAUUGUUUUUCGGGCCACGGUCUCCUGAGCCUGCUUUCGCACCCGUCUUGAAAAACGGACCAA